AAGGUGUUAAGCGGGCCGCUUGGGAAGUACGGCCGCAAGGCUGAAGCUUAAAGGAAUUGGCGGGAGAGCACUGCAACGGGAGGAGCGUGCGGUUUAAUUGGAUUCAACGCCGGAAAACUCACCGGGGGCGACCGGCACAUGUGGGCCAGGCUGACGACCUUGCCCGAAUAAUAGCUGGAGAGGUGGUGCAUGGCCAUCGUCAGCUCGUACCAUAGGGCGUUCACUUAAGUGUGAUAACGAGCGAGACCCCCGUCCCCAGUUGCCACCUGUCCCUCCGGGGGCAGAGCACACUGGGGAGACCGCUGGCGCUAAGCCAGAGGAAGGUGGGGUCAACGGUAGGUCAGUACGCCCCGAAUCCCCCGGGCUACACGCGCGCUACAAAGGGCGGGACAAUGGGUUGCAACCCCGAAAGGGGAAGCUAAUCCUGAAACCCGUCCGUAGUUCAGAUCGAGGGCUGUAACUCGCCCUCGUGAAGCUGGAUUCCGUAGUAAUCGCGCCUCAACAUGGCGCGGUGAAUGCGCCCCUGCUCUUUGCACACACCGCCCGUCAAACCAUCCGAGUUGGCUCUAGGUGAGGCUCUGUUCUAUUCGGGCAGGGUCGAACCUGGGGUCAGCGAGGAGGGUUAAGUCGUAACAAGGUAACC
Molecule: ribosomal RNA, 643 nt
Filed under: uncultured archaeon
Lineage: Archaea
Description: bacterial SSU rRNA
Rfam family: Archaeal small subunit ribosomal RNA
Source: RNAcentral